GUGCUCACUCCAUCAGCACAGAUGCUAAAAGUGGAACGAUACAGACAAGAUCAGCAUGGCCCCUGGGCAAGGAUGACUUGCAAAUUUGUGAAGCAUCCCAUAUUUUU
This is a small nuclear RNA of Hyaena hyaena (striped hyena), 107 nucleotides long. The record is from RefSeq and is a predicted model, not a curated record. NCBI's taxonomy places the organism in Eukaryota, Metazoa, Chordata, Mammalia, Carnivora, Hyaenidae.